UAUUUGUCGUCGUUCACUCCUUCCCCGCGUGCCCUAGCCCCCUCCUCGCACCCGAGCCGCAUCCCCUCCUCACCCGACGACAUCUUCUCCCGAACCCUAACCGGCGCCGAGCGAUUUCCUCUCCCUCUCCGCAGCCGACGCCUUUCUCCUCUCCUCUGCCCCGAACCAGCGACGCCGACUUCUUCCUCUGUGCCGAGCCCUAGCACUGUGCCUCUUUUUCUUCUUAGCCUCUUCUCCUUCGCACACCGUUGAGUGUCGCCCGACAUCUACUGGCGCCGCCCUUUCCCCUCUUCGGACCUGCACGCCGACGCUGAACCACCGGUCACAGGACCACCAAAGGCAAUCGCUCUUCCUCUGGCCGGCACUUGAGCCAUCGCCGGUGCCCUAGCACCCUGGUUACCGCCGUCCCUCAGUCCGAGCAGAGCCGACCCAUUCCUUCUGCCAUAGCCGAGCCUCACCCCUUGCAUGAGUUGAUGCCUCGGGUUCUACCGAGCCUUUGGUUUAGGGUCAGUGGUUAAAUCUAGUACCAGCCACAGUUUGGCAAAGGGUGCAUCCUCAACAAAUUAACGAUAAAGUAUACGGAUUUGGGAUGAUGCUGUCAGGAGAGAGUUCUAGUUGCUGGUCCCCUAAAG
This is a long non-coding RNA of Zingiber officinale, 632 nucleotides long. RefSeq lists it as uncharacterized. The record is from RefSeq and is a predicted model, not a curated record. NCBI's taxonomy places the organism in Eukaryota, Viridiplantae, Streptophyta, Magnoliopsida, Zingiberales, Zingiberaceae. The transcript has 3 exons.